CAUGGUCUUUGGAUUAUUAUUUAAGAUUUGACCUGCCCGCUGAAUUUUUGAAUGGCCGCGGUAUUUUGACCGUGCAAAGGUAGCAUAAUAAUUAGUUUCUUGAUUAGAAGCUGGAAUGAAUGGUUGGACGAGAAAGUUUCUGUCUCUUAUUAAUUUUAAUAGAAUUUUAUUUUUGAGUUAAAAAGCUUAAAUUUUUGUGAAAGACGAGAAGACCCUAUAGAGUUUUAUAAUUACUUAAUUUUUUAACUAUAGGGAUUAAAUUUUAAUAGUUCUUUAAUUAUUUGAUUGGGGUGAUUAAAAGAUUUAAUUAACUCUUUUUUUAUUUUUUCACUAAUAUGUGAUUUAUUGAUCCAAUGUUUUUGAUUAAAAGAUUAAAUUACCUUAGGGAUAACAGCGUAAUCUUUUUGGAGAGUUCUUAUCGAUAAGAAGGUUUGCGACCUCGAUGUUGGAUUAAAGUUAAUUUUUGGUGUAGAAGCUUUGAAAUUGAGUCUGUUCGACUUUUAAAACUUUACAUGAUCUGAGU
This 523-nucleotide ribosomal RNA is filed under the name Dryopomorphus sp. UPOL RK0732. RNAcentral describes it as "partial 16S ribosomal RNA". It matches the Rfam family "Bacterial large subunit ribosomal RNA", at positions 1826 to 2610 of the family's 2925-position model. The record is from RNAcentral. Lineage: Eukaryota; Metazoa; Arthropoda; Insecta; Coleoptera; Elmidae.